RNAcentral lists this ribosomal RNA (146 nucleotides) under uncultured eukaryote. Its description in RNAcentral is "partial 18S ribosomal RNA". It matches the Rfam family "Eukaryotic small subunit ribosomal RNA", at positions 1299 to 1458 of the family's 1831-position model. The record is from RNAcentral.
UCGUGGAGCGAUUUGUCUGGUUUAUUCCGAUAACGAGCGAGACUCUAGCCUACUAACUAGUCCGCACCUUCGCCUGCUGGGUGCACACACACGGACUUCUUAGAGGGAUUUUCGGCGUUUCAGCCGCACGAAACUGAGCAAUAACA